This 37-nucleotide transfer RNA is filed under the name Chelon auratus (golden grey mullet). RNAcentral describes it as "partial transfer RNA-Thr". The record is from RNAcentral. Lineage: Eukaryota; Metazoa; Chordata; Actinopteri; Mugiliformes; Mugilidae.
GGAAGUCGAAGGUUAAAGUCCUUCCUACUACUCACAC